CGGACGGGUGAGUAACACGUGGAUAACCUACCUAUAAGACUGGGAUAACUUCGGGAAACCGGAGCUAAUACCGGAUAAUAUAUUGAACCGCAUGGUUCAAUAGUGAAAGACGGUUUUGCUGUCACUUAUAGAUGGAUCCGCGCUGCAUUAGCUAGUUGGUAAGGUAACGGCUUACCAAGGCAACGAUGCGUAGCCGACCUGAGAGGGUGAUCGGCCACACUGGAACUGAGACACGGUCCAGACUCCUACGGGAGGCAGCAGA
RNAcentral lists this ribosomal RNA (262 nucleotides) under uncultured Staphylococcus sp. RNAcentral describes it as "partial 16S ribosomal RNA". It matches the Rfam family "Bacterial small subunit ribosomal RNA", at positions 99 to 354 of the family's 1533-position model. Lineage: Bacteria; Bacillati; Bacillota; Bacilli; Caryophanales; Staphylococcaceae. The record is from RNAcentral.